UACAGGGGGUGCAAACGUUGCUCGGAAUCAUUGGGCGUAAAGCGCACGUAGGCGGUUCGUUAUGUCGGAUGUGAAAGCCCUUGGCUUAACCGAGGAAGUGCAUCCGAAACUGGCGAGCUAGAGUACUAAAGAGGAUCGCGGAAUUCCCGGUGUAGAGGUAAAAUUCGUAGAUAUCGGGAGGAACACCGGUGGCGAAGGCGGCGAUCUGGGUAGAUACUGACGCUGAGGUGCGAAAGCGUGGGGAGCAAACAGG
Molecule: ribosomal RNA, 253 nt
Filed under: uncultured bacterium
Lineage: Bacteria
Description: partial 16S ribosomal RNA
Rfam family: Bacterial small subunit ribosomal RNA
Source: RNAcentral